Molecule: long non-coding RNA, 1102 nt
Organism: Canis lupus familiaris (dog)
Lineage: Eukaryota; Metazoa; Chordata; Mammalia; Carnivora; Canidae
Exons: 3
Source: RefSeq, a predicted model, not a curated record
UGAGUUCUACUCCAUGUUAGGAGGUGAAGAUUUACCAUAGCUCACAAACUGGCACUUCUGUGGCAAACUCAGCCCAUGGCUGUUGUUUUGUUUGAUACAGUGUUCUAUAUGCUUGUUUUAUUGGAAUGUCUUUAGCAAAGCCAGGCACUUGCUCCUCCAGUAAGACACAGCUCUCAUUCCUCUCUCCCAUCUUACAUGGAACCUGCCCCAUUCUUCCCGCGGGCCUCAGAGCACUUGAGUUUACAGAUUUCGGUUUCAAGGCUCUACUAAUAUUGUUUGGGAACUUUUUAAAAAGCUUCAAGGUGGCAGAAAACUUUCCUUUUGUACAUCUCUAUUUAGGGUACAAGGGUGGGGAAAUGGAAGAAGGGUGGUAAGGAACAGUGCUAGGAAAUCACAAAGAAGCUGUGUAGGAGCAGAUGCUUUUCCUCGGCUUUCCUACAGAAGCAAAGCUUGUGGAAAACACAAAUGUCACUUGCUCAACUGCAGCUGGGGAUAUGCCCCUGGCAUUAGCAGAUGUGAAGACUGCGCAAGUCAACCUCCACCUGCCUCUGCUCUCCUGGCUCCAGAGAAGAGCUUCUACUUGGUGUAGGGAGUCAAAGAAAAAGCAAGGCACAACCACUCCCACUCAUCACUCACCUUGGAAGUGAGUGAAACAUUCACUGUUUGUCAAGCGGAAAGCUAUAGGCAACCUGUGCACAUCUUGCCCUUCUUUCCUGGGGCUGAAACAGCAGCUAGGAACCUCAAGAUCCAGAUAGUAGUGGAGUCAGCACAAACUAUGCUUCUUCAAGAUGGCUGAUCCAGGCCAUGUCUACAGCCAGAAACUUUAACUAGACCACACUGAGACUCAACCCAGGGAGCAGAGUCCAGCAGCAAGGAAAACUUUCGAAAAUGAUUUUUGAAGAAAGUACAACUUGAAAAAAUAUUUUACACCAUAUGUUUGGAUCACCAUCUGUGACUAUGCUGGGCAACUGGCACGAACUAUGAAGGAUCAAUAAGUGAAAGUCAUCAUGCACACUUCUUUUUACAAUUUGAUUCUGAACACUCUUUGAUAAAGAAACAUUUCGAGCGUUGGUUAAAACUACAGGAAAUAGGUCUUGUAAAA